Molecule: ribosomal RNA, 38 nt
Filed under: Epichloe typhina
Lineage: Eukaryota; Fungi; Ascomycota; Sordariomycetes; Hypocreales; Clavicipitaceae
Description: partial 28S ribosomal RNA
Source: RNAcentral
GUUGACCUCGAAUCAGGUAGGAAUACCCGCUGAACUUA